AAAAAGGUUCCUUUCGGAACCUUUUUUAUUAGAAUUAAUUUAAUAU
Flavobacterium sp. 40-81 is the source of this 46-nucleotide non-coding RNA. NCBI's taxonomy places the organism in Bacteria, Pseudomonadati, Bacteroidota, Flavobacteriia, Flavobacteriales, Flavobacteriaceae. The record is from Rfam.